RNAcentral lists this ribosomal RNA (468 nucleotides) under uncultured bacterium. RNAcentral's name for it is "partial 16S ribosomal RNA". It matches the Rfam family "Bacterial small subunit ribosomal RNA", at positions 28 to 507 of the family's 1533-position model. The record is from RNAcentral.
GACGAACGCUGGCGGCGUGCUUAACACAUGCAAGUCGAACGGAAAGGCCCUGCUUUUGUGGGGUGCUCGAGUGGCGAACGGGUGAGUAACACGUGAGUAACCUGCCCUUGACUUUGGGAUAACUUCAGGAAACUGGGGCUAAUACCGGAUAGGAGCUCCUGCUACAUGGUGGGGGUUGGAAAGUUUCGGCGGGUGGGGAUGGACUCGCGGCUUAUCAGCUUGUUGGUGGGGUAGUGGCUUACCAAGGCUUUGACGGGUAGCCGGCCUGAGAGGGUGACCGGCCACCUUGGUACUGCGGUACGGCCCAGUCUCCUACGGUAGGCAGCAGUGGGGAAUCUUGCACAAUGGGCGGAAGCCUGAUGCAGCAACGCCGCGUGCGGGAUGACGGCCUUCGGGUUGUAAACCGCUUUCGCCUGUGACGAAGCGUGAGUGACGGUAAUGGGUAAAGAAGCACCGGCUAACUACGUG